Molecule: ribosomal RNA, 843 nt
Filed under: Campylobacter coli
Lineage: Bacteria; Pseudomonadati; Campylobacterota; Epsilonproteobacteria; Campylobacterales; Campylobacteraceae
Description: partial 23S ribosomal RNA
Rfam family: Bacterial large subunit ribosomal RNA
Source: RNAcentral
AAGUAUAGCCAUAGAGGGUGAUAGUCCCGUAUGCGAAAAACAAACCUUAGCUAGCAGUAUCCUGAGUAGGGCGGGACACGAGAAAUCCUGUCUGAAGCUGGGUCGACCACGAUCCAACCCUAAAUACUAAUACCAGAUCGAUAGUGCACAAGUACCGUGAGGGAAAGGUGAAAAGAACUGAGGUGAUCAGAGUGAAAUAGAACCUGAAACCAUUUGCUUACAAUCAUUCAGAGCCCUAUGUAGCAAUACAGGGUGAUGGACUGCCUUUUGCAUAAUGAGCCUGCGAGUUGUGGUGUCUGGCAAGGUUAAGCAAACGCGAAGCCGUAGCGAAAGCGAGUCUGAAUAGGGCGCUUAGUCAGAUGCUGCAGACCCGAAACGAAGUGAUCUAUCCAUGAGCAAGUUGAAGCUAGUGUAAGAACUAGUGGAGGACUGAACCCAUAGGCGUUGAAAAGCCCCGGGAUGACUUGUGGAUAGGGGUGAAAGGCCAAUCAAACUUCGUGAUAGCUGGUUCUCUCCGAAAUAUAUUUAGGUAUAGCGUUGUGUCGUAAUAUAAGGGGGUAGAGCACUGAAUGGGCUAGGGCAUACACCAAUGUACCAAACCCUAUCAAACUCCGAAUACCUUAUAUGUAAUCACAGCAGUCAGGCGGCGAGUGAUAAAAUCCGUCGUCAAGAGGGAAACAACCCAGACUACCAGCUAAGGUCCCUAAAUCUUACUUAAGUGGAAAACGAUGUGAAGUUACUUAAACAACCAGGAGGUUGGCUUAGAAGCAGCCAUCCUUUAAAGAAAGCGUAAUAGCUCACUGGUCUAGUGAUUUUGCGCGGAAAAUAUAACGGGGCUAAAGU